GGAGUUUGGCAGAGGGGGGUGGAAUUCCACGUGUGGCAGUGAAAUGCGUAGAGAUGUGGAGGAACACCAAUGGCGAAGGCAGCCCCCUGGGUCGAUACUGACGCUCAUGCACGAAAGCGUGGGUAGCAAACAGGAUUAGAUACCCUGGUAGUCCACGCCCUAAACGAUGUCAACUAGGUGUUGGGAGGGUAAAACCUUUUAGUGCCGUAGCUAACG
RNAcentral lists this ribosomal RNA (216 nucleotides) under uncultured Candidatus Accumulibacter sp. RNAcentral's name for it is "partial 16S ribosomal RNA". It matches the Rfam family "Bacterial small subunit ribosomal RNA", at positions 643 to 857 of the family's 1533-position model. The record is from RNAcentral. Lineage: Bacteria; Pseudomonadati; Pseudomonadota; Betaproteobacteria.